AACUGAUACUACCUGCGGGAACCUGCGGAGGGAUCAUUACUGAAUGUUACUACAACUAAACCCUUGUGAACUUUGCUAUGUGACUGCCUCGGCAGGUAAUCCCAGGGCGGGGUUUUGAGCCUCUUUACAGGCACCUGCCAGUGGUAGACAAUUUUCAAACUCUGAUUUUAUUGAGCUUCUGAGUGUCUCAAAAAAUAAAUCAAAACUUUUAGCAACGGAUCUCUAGAUCGGAAGAGCACA
RNAcentral lists this unclassified non-coding RNA (240 nucleotides) under soil metagenome. Its description in RNAcentral is "partial contains 5.8S ribosomal RNA, internal transcribed spacer 2, and large subunit ribosomal RNA". The record is from RNAcentral.